GACGAACGUUGGCGGCGUGCUUAAUACAUGCAAGUCAACUGAAGCCGUGGUAGCAAUAUCGUUGUGGAGGUGGCGCAUGGGUGAGUAACACGUAGGUAAUCUGACUUUAGGUCUGGCUUAACUCUGGGAAACCGGGGCUAAUAGCAGUUGAUGCAGCGGCUCGACAUUGAGACGGUUGUUAAAGCUAUGGUGCCUGAAGAUGAGCCUGCGUCUGCUUAGCUAGUUGGCGGGGUAGCGGCCCACCAAUGCAACGAUCAGUCGCUGGUCUGAGAGGAUGAUCAGACACACUGGAACGGAGACACGGUCCAGACUCCUACGGGAUGCAGCAGUAAGGAAAAAUGCUCAAUGGGAGAUAUCCUGAUGCAGCAACGCCGCGUAAGGGACUAGGGUUGUUGGCUUGUAAACCUCUGUAGGAAGAGAAAAAAAUCCCAAUCUUGGGGACAUGACGGUAUCUCAAGAGUAAGCCCCGGCUAACUACGUG
This 481-nucleotide ribosomal RNA is filed under the name uncultured bacterium. RNAcentral describes it as "partial 16S ribosomal RNA". It matches the Rfam family "Bacterial small subunit ribosomal RNA", at positions 28 to 507 of the family's 1533-position model. The record is from RNAcentral.